Transfer RNA from Aureobasidium pullulans, 94 nucleotides. It matches the Rfam family "tRNA". Rfam says of the family: Transfer RNA (tRNA) molecules are approximately 80 nucleotides in length. Their secondary structure includes four short double-helical elements and three loops (D, anti-codon, and T loops). Lineage: Eukaryota; Fungi; Ascomycota; Dothideomycetes; Dothideales; Saccotheciaceae. The record is from Rfam.
GGGGUUGUGGUCUAGUGGUAUGACAUCUUCUUAGCAUUGCUCUUCGAGCAUUACUGAGUGGAGAAGGUUCUGGGUUCGAUUCCCAGCUACUCCA